GACGAACGCUGGCGGCGUGCUUAACACAUGCAAGUCGAACGGAAAGGCCCUGCCUUUGUGGGGUGCUCGAGUGGCGAACGGGUGAGUAACACGUGAGUAACCUGCCCUUGACUUUGGGAUAACUUCAGGAAACUGGGGCUAAUACCGGAUAGGAGCUCCUGCUGCAUGGUGGGGGUUGGAAAGUUUCGGCUGUUGUGGAUGGACUCCCGGCUUAUCAGCUUGUUGGUGGGGGAGUGGCUUACCCAGGCUUUGGAGGGUAGCCGGCCUGAGAGGGGGAACGGCGACAUGAGGACUGAGGUACGGCGCAGAGUGCUACGGGAGGCAGCAGUGGGAAAUAUUGCACAGUGGGCGGGAGCCUGAUGAAGAGACGCCGCGUGCGGGAUGACGGCUUUGGGGUUGUGAACCGCUUUCGGCUGUGACGAAGCGUGAGUGACGGUAAUGGGAGAAGAAGCACCGGCUAACUACGUG
This 468-nucleotide ribosomal RNA is filed under the name uncultured bacterium. RNAcentral's name for it is "partial 16S ribosomal RNA". It matches the Rfam family "Bacterial small subunit ribosomal RNA", at positions 28 to 507 of the family's 1533-position model. The record is from RNAcentral.